This 253-nucleotide ribosomal RNA is filed under the name uncultured bacterium. RNAcentral's name for it is "partial 16S ribosomal RNA". It matches the Rfam family "Bacterial small subunit ribosomal RNA", at positions 524 to 776 of the family's 1533-position model. The record is from RNAcentral.
GACGAACCGUGCGAACGUUGUUCGGAAUCAUUGGGCUUAAAGGGCGCGUAGGCGGGCCGCCGAGUCCGGGGUGAAAUCCUCCAGCUUAACUGGAGAACUGCCCCGGAUACUGGAGGUCUCGAGGGGGGUAGGGGCAUGCGGAACUGUGGGUGGAGCGGUGAAAUGCGUUGAUAUCCACAGGAACUCCGGUGGCGAAGGCGGGUCUCUGGGCAGUAACUGACGCUGAGGAGCGAAAGCGUGGGUAGCGAACAGG